GGUGCGAUAGCCAAGUGGUAAGGCAUCGGUCUGCAACACCGUCAUCGCCGGUUCAAAUCCGGCUCGCACCUC
This 72-nucleotide transfer RNA is filed under the name Lachnospiraceae bacterium. RNAcentral's name for it is "tRNA-Cys". It matches the Rfam family "tRNA". Rfam says of the family: Transfer RNA (tRNA) molecules are approximately 80 nucleotides in length. The record is from RNAcentral. Lineage: Bacteria; Bacillati; Bacillota; Clostridia; Lachnospirales; Lachnospiraceae.